AUCCCAGUUAAGAUGGAUUAAUUUUCAUAAGUUCUUACAUUGAUUCAUGGGAGGCCUAAAACAGUGCUGGAAGUUUCGCUGAUAAAUGCCUUUAUUUUAACUUUACACCAAGGUGUUUACUAGUAACUAUGCCACACACUC
This is a small nucleolar RNA of Vicia villosa (hairy vetch), 141 nucleotides long. The record is from RefSeq and is a predicted model, not a curated record. Lineage: Eukaryota; Viridiplantae; Streptophyta; Magnoliopsida; Fabales; Fabaceae.